This 504-nucleotide ribosomal RNA is filed under the name uncultured bacterium. Its description in RNAcentral is "partial 16S ribosomal RNA". It matches the Rfam family "Bacterial small subunit ribosomal RNA", at positions 28 to 507 of the family's 1533-position model. The record is from RNAcentral.
GACGAACGCUGCGGCGUGCCUAAUACAUGCAAGUAGAACGCACAGUUUAUACCGUAGCUUGCUACACCAUAGACUGUGAGUUGCGAACGGGUGAGUAACGCGUAGGUAACCUGCCUGGUAGCGGGGGAUAACUAUUGGAAACGAUAGCUAAUACCGCAUAAUAUUAAUUAUUGCAUGAUAAUUAAUUGAAAGGUGCAAUUGCACCACUACCAGAUGGACCUGCGUUGUAUUAGCUAGUAGGUGAGGUAACGGCUCACCUAGGCGACGAUACAUAGCCGACCUGGGAGGGUGAUCGGCCACACUGGGACUGAGACACGGCCCAGACUCCCACGGGAGGCAGCAGUAGGGAAUCUUCGGCAAUGGACGAAAGUCUGACCGAGCAACGCCGCGUGAGUGAAGAAGGUUUUCGGAUCGUAAAGCUCUGUUGUAAGAGAAGAACGGGUGUGAGAGUGGAAAGUUCACACUGUGACGGUAUCUUACCAGAAAGGGACGGCUAACUACGUG